Molecule: long non-coding RNA, 93 nt
Organism: Cygnus olor (mute swan)
Lineage: Eukaryota; Metazoa; Chordata; Aves; Anseriformes; Anatidae
Exons: 3
Source: RefSeq, a predicted model, not a curated record
ACAACUACCUCACAGGAGGUUACAGCAAGGAGGGUGGUGGUGUCUUUUCUCAGGUGACAAGUGACAGGACACAAGGAAAUGGUCUCAAGUUGC